Molecule: transfer RNA, 76 nt
Filed under: Deltaproteobacteria bacterium
Lineage: Bacteria; Pseudomonadati; Myxococcota; Myxococcia
Description: tRNA-Thr
Rfam family: tRNA
About the family: Transfer RNA (tRNA) molecules are approximately 80 nucleotides in length.
Source: RNAcentral
GCCGUCGUAGCUCAACUGGUAGAGCUCCUGAUUUGUAAUCAGGGGGUUGCGGGUUCAAUUCCUGUCGACGGCUCCA